UGGCUAGCAUUGCAACUUCAACGAGCAACGCCAUCGUGUCAUUGCGGGAAUUACCAUUUUGUCGUCGGAGUAACCAAGAUAAAUUGCCUAUCAAAGAAUUAGGAUCACUCAGACCAAAUUUAAAUAUCAAGCAGGUGACUACAAAGGCGGGGAAAACCUACAGCCGCGGAUUUUCACGGAGCUGGUAUGAGCGGAAAAGGUGGCUAGCUGGAUGCGAAGUAGCUAACGUGCUGUUUUGCUAGCCCUGCCUUCUGAUUCACCGGGAUGGAAACACAGACACCGACAUGCACCAUCUCUCGGAGAAGGUGAGAAAACGUGAAGCAUAUGGACAGCUGCCUGAAACUUUCGUCUUUUGGAAGAGUUAACAUCGCCACCCAGUUGGAUGAGAGCUACACCAUAGCUGUGUGUCGUCACAACGAUGAGAGGUAGAAAUGAGAAAGUGACUUUGGUUAUUUUACCCAUUGAUCGGGUCAUCUUAGCCAUCAUCGCAACAAUUGGCCCCCCCUGAGAGAUUUGUCAGGAGCCGCCACUGCAAACGACAAACUCCCCGGAGAUCAAGUGAAGCGUCCACACACCCCUCACAUCUGGACACCAACUCAGUGAUCCUGAAUGUGGGACAACACCAUGUGGCAAAGGCGACUACAGAUGACCCACCGAUGAUAGGCGACCAGUCCAUUUACAGCAAUCUUCCAGAUUCCACAGGAGGAAGCAAGUUUGCCAGUUUGUCGUAAGCAGGCAGGAAAAAGAGAAGAUAUCAUUUCCUUGAGGAAGCAUCUGGACCACGCCAGGCAUUUGGCGUCAGCAAUUAAGCGGGGCCAGAGCUACUUCCACCUCCUGCAGUAAAAGGAACGGGAGGAGCAGGAGAGGCGGCGGGUGAGGCGGGAGGAGCAGCUAAGGACAGAGCCACGACCUCCAAGUUUCUCCUCUGACUCAGACAGCGAUUCAGAAGGGUGGCCUCUGCCAGCAGGAACCAGUUGGUCAGGUGGGAAUGAAGCAAGGCCAUACAGGAAGAAGACCCAGUCAGCACGACCUUUCACCCCCAUCCAUCACUGUCUAACCUCCCCUCUGCUGAGUGAAGCACCGAGGGAGGUCAUCUACCGCCAGCUCUGCUCUCUGAAUUGGCUGCUGGAGGCCUUGACCCUGGAUUGUUCCAGCAGAAUCGGCCCCCUCACCGCCUGCUGGGACCCCAAAGACCCUGGCCGAGGCAGGAUCACGAUGAAGACACUGAAAACGGAGAGAGCCAUUGAGAGCAAAUGGGAGCAGUUUGUUUCAACCAAGGAGUCCUCCCAGCUCCUCUGUUCACCUCCACACCCACAGGAAGUAUUCUUUCAUGGCUGCGGCCUCUCUCUCAGCCCUCACCUUCACCACUGCGAGCAGCAGUAUGUCCUCUCUGGUCCCAGGCCCUCAGGAGGACACGGAGUAUCCGGGAGCAGCAGAGGAAACAGACCAGCCUUCCUCAGAGUGUCUUUGCACACUGCUGCGUGUCCACCAGAGAUUCAAGAAAGAGCGCCAAAAGCCCCCACACCAGCAGUGUGACAGACAG
Molecule: long non-coding RNA, 1543 nt
Organism: Toxotes jaculatrix (banded archerfish)
Lineage: Eukaryota; Metazoa; Chordata; Actinopteri; Toxotidae
Exons: 10
Source: RefSeq, a predicted model, not a curated record